GAAAUGCGAUAAGUAAUGUGAAUUGCAGAAUUCAGUGAAUCAUCGAAUCUUUGAACGCACCUUGCGCUCCUUGGUAUUCCGAGGAGCAUGCCUGUUUGAGUGUCGUGAAAUUCUCAACCUGACCAGCUUUUUGCGAGCUAAUCAGGCUUGGAUGUUGGAGGUUGCUGGCUUCUACAAAAUCAGCUCCUCUUAAAAAUAUUAGCAGAACCUAUGCUGAUCAUCUUUGGUAUGAUAAUUAUCUAUACUAUGGAGGAUUGGCUUCCUUAACUGGACGGUUUCGCUUCUAAUCGUCUAUUGCAGACAAUUUCUGAUAAUUUGACCUCAAAUCAGGUAGGACUACCCGCUGAACUUAA
Molecule: unclassified non-coding RNA, 353 nt
Filed under: uncultured Agaricales
Lineage: Eukaryota; Fungi; Basidiomycota; Agaricomycetes; Agaricales
Description: sequence contains ITS1
Rfam family: 5.8S ribosomal RNA (bases 1-105)
Source: RNAcentral